GGGGGCAUAGCUCAGCUGGGAGAGCACCUGCUUUGCAAGCAGGGGGUCGUCAGUUCGAUCCCGUCUGCCUCCACCA
This 76-nucleotide transfer RNA is filed under the name Burkholderia pseudomallei. Its description in RNAcentral is "tRNA-Ala". It matches the Rfam family "tRNA". Rfam says of the family: Transfer RNA (tRNA) molecules are approximately 80 nucleotides in length. Their secondary structure includes four short double-helical elements and three loops (D, anti-codon, and T loops). RNAcentral also lists the same sequence under 1 other name. Lineage: Bacteria; Pseudomonadati; Pseudomonadota; Betaproteobacteria; Burkholderiales; Burkholderiaceae. The record is from RNAcentral.